CAGCGCCGCGGUAAUACAGAGGGUGCGAGCGUUAAUCGGAUUUACUGGGCGUAAAGCGUGCGUAGGCGGCUUUUUAAGUCGGAUGUGAAAUCCCUGAGCUUAACUUAGGAAUUGCAUUCGAUACUGGGAAGCUAGAGUAUGGGAGAGGAUGGUAGAAUUCCAGGUGUACCGGUGAAAUGCGUAGAGAUCUGGAGGAAUACCGAUGGCGAAGGCAGCCAUCUGGCCUAAUACUGACGCUGAGGUACGAAAGCAUGGGGAGCAAACAGGAUUAGAGACCCCAGUAGUCCCUGUCUCUUAUACA
Molecule: ribosomal RNA, 301 nt
Filed under: uncultured bacterium
Lineage: Bacteria
Description: partial 16S ribosomal RNA
Rfam family: Bacterial small subunit ribosomal RNA
Source: RNAcentral